UACGUAGGGUGCAAGCGUUAAUCGGAAUUACUGGGCGUAAAGCGUGCGCAGGCGGUUUUGUAAGUCUGUCGUGAAAUCCCCGGGCUUAACCUGGGAACGGCGAUGGAGACUGCAAGGCUGGAGUUUGGCAGAGGGGGGUAGAAUUCCACGUGUAGCAGUGAAAUGCGUAGAGAUGUGGAGGAACACCGAUGGCGAAGGCAGCCCCCUGGGUCAAAACUGACGCUCAUGCACGAAAGCGUGGGGAGCAAACAGG
RNAcentral lists this ribosomal RNA (253 nucleotides) under uncultured bacterium. Its description in RNAcentral is "partial 16S ribosomal RNA". It matches the Rfam family "Bacterial small subunit ribosomal RNA", at positions 524 to 776 of the family's 1533-position model. The record is from RNAcentral.